This 253-nucleotide ribosomal RNA is filed under the name uncultured bacterium. RNAcentral's name for it is "partial 16S ribosomal RNA". It matches the Rfam family "Bacterial small subunit ribosomal RNA", at positions 524 to 776 of the family's 1533-position model. The record is from RNAcentral.
UACGUAGGGUGCAAGCGUUAAUCGGAAUUACUGGGCGCAAAGCGUGCGCAGGCGGUUAUGUAAGACAGAUGUGAAAUCCCCGGGCUCAACCUGGGAACUGCAUUUGUGACUGCAUAGCUAGAGUACGGUAGAGGGGGAUGGAAUUCCGCGUGUAGCAGUGAAAUGCGUAGAUAUGCGGAGGAACACCGAUGGCGAAGGCAAUCCCCUGGACCUGUACUGACGCUCAUGCACGAAAGCGUGGGGAGCAAACAGG